GAUCCUGGCUCAGGAUGAACGCUAGCGACAGGCUUAACACAUGCAAGUCGGGGGGCAGCGAGGAAGUGGCAACACUUCUGUCGGCGACCGGCGCACGGGUGAGUAACGCGUAUGCAACCUGCCCUUCACAGGGGGGAUAACCGGGAGAAAUUCCGACUAAUACCGCAUACGUCCUCCGGGGGCAUCCCAGGGGGAUGAAAGAAUUAUCGGUGAAGGAUGGGCAUGCGUGAUAUUAGGUAGUUGGCGGGGCAACCGG
Molecule: ribosomal RNA, 256 nt
Filed under: uncultured bacterium
Lineage: Bacteria
Description: partial 16S ribosomal RNA
Rfam family: Bacterial small subunit ribosomal RNA
Source: RNAcentral